Molecule: ribosomal RNA, 490 nt
Filed under: uncultured bacterium
Lineage: Bacteria
Description: partial 16S ribosomal RNA
Rfam family: Bacterial small subunit ribosomal RNA
Source: RNAcentral
AUUGAACGCUGGCGGCAGGCCUAACACAUGCAAGUCGAACGGUAACAGGAAGAAGCUUGCUUCUUUGCUGACGAGUGGCGGACGGGUGAGUAAUGUCUGGGAAACUGCCUGAUGGAGGGGGAUAACUACUGGAAACGGUAGCUAAUACCGCAUAACGUCGCAAGACCAAAGAGGGGGACCUUCGGGCCUCUUGCCAUCGGAUGUGCCCAGAUGGGAUUAGCUAGUAGGUGGGGUAACGGCUCACCUAGGCGGCGAUCCCUAGCUGGUCUGAGAGGAUGACCAGCCACACUGGAACUGGGACACGGUCCAGGCUCCUACGGGAGGCAGCAGUGGGGAAUAUUGCACAAUGGGCGCAAGCCUGAUGCAGCCAUGCCGCGUGUAUGAAGAAGGCCUUCGGGUUGUAAAGUACUUUCAGCGGGGAGGAAGGGAGUAAAGUUAAUACCUUUGCUCAUUGACGUUACCCGCAGAAGAAGCACCGGCUAACUCCGUG